Molecule: ribosomal RNA, 497 nt
Filed under: uncultured bacterium
Lineage: Bacteria
Description: partial 16S ribosomal RNA
Rfam family: Bacterial small subunit ribosomal RNA
Source: RNAcentral
GAUGAACGCUGGCGGCGUGCCUAAUACAUGCAAGUCGAGCGAACAGACGCGGCGCUUGCUCCUCUGACGUUAGCGGCGGACGGGUGAGUAACACGUGUAUAACCUACCUAUAAGACUGGGAUAACUUCGGGAAACCGGAGCUAAUACCGGAUAAUAUAUUGAACCGCAUGGUUCAAUAGUGAAAGACGGUUUUGCUGUCACUUAUAGAUGGAUCCGCGCCGCAUUAGCUAGUUGGUAAGGUAACGGCUUACCAAGGCGACGAUGCGUAGCCGACCUGAGAGGGUGAUCGGCCACACGGGAACGUAGACACGGUCCAGACUACUACGGGAGGCAGCAGUAGGGAAUCUUCCGCAAUGGGCGAAAGCCUGACGGAGCAACGCCGCGUGAGUGAUGAAGGUCUUCGGAUCGUAAAACUCUGUUAUUAGGGAAGAACAAAUGUGUAAGUAACUAUGCACGUCUUGACGGUACCUAAUCAGAAAGCCACGGCUAACUACGUG